GUGUUUACAGACGAUGAGAGGUUCUUUGUCUGCGUUGAUGAAUCGGAAAAAACUGUUUACAAUCAAGACACAAUGAUCAAGGUGAGAUUGAUAGCUAUUUUCAUCCGCCUACACACUCAUAGAUCUGCAUGUUUUUUAGACAAAAAAGCGUCUCCCGAUUUAACCGUUUCUUGUAACUUUGGCACCUUGCGUCAUAAGACCGAUACCAUCACUCCUCUUUUAUCAAUUUUUUCCUUCAUUUUUCAGGCAAUCAGGUUUAUUGAGAAACACCUGCGAAAGAAGUUUGAUUUGAGAAAAGGGGGAAAAUCCAUUUGUACUACUUAUCGAAUGGGGACUCCAAGUGGACGGUGAAGGCUUCUGAAGACGUCAUGGAUCGCCAGCUUUGCCUUACCAAUUUCAUAUUGUCAACAAAGCCGUCUAAUUUUUACUAUAACCCAGAUCCGGUGUCGCAAUACUCUACACAGGGUGGCAUAAAAAGAACUAAAACGGCAAUCCCAAGAGGCGAAUUAUCCCCGUAUGAUAGUUAUGCAAACGUUGCAAACAUGAAAAAAUUGACGAACAAUACAGUAGAUAAAGCUCCGGCAGAUGAACCUAGUGCAGAUCUCAUAGAGAAACUCGUCACUGAAAGGUGUAAACGACGAGAGGCAGAAUUGGAGAAGUUCCUAGCACAAAUGAACGAAUUUUUCAACACGAAAAUAAAACAAACAGUGGCGCUUCCGCCGGAAAAGGAUAACCAGGAAUAGAAAAGGCCGCACUGAAAAAAAAGUUCUGUUGUCACAAACCAGAAUUUCUGGUUGUAUUUCGCAACCAGAUUUUCCGGUUGAUUCAACCAGAAGUACAGUUGACUCAACCAGACGUCUGGUUGACUCUACCAAAUUCUGGUUGAGUCAACUGUAAUUCUGGUUAAAUCAACCGGAAAAUCUGGUUGCGAAAUACAACCAGAAAUUCUGGUUUGUGACGACAGAACUUGUUUUCAGUGGGGAGGAACCCCGUGUCGCAUCGCCAAAAGGAAAAAGCUGGCGUUCGGGGGUGACAAUUAUUGCAGUUUGCAUACGUUAUGUAUAAUCUGUUGCCUACCUGCCCAUUUGAAGGCGCUUUUUUAUGCGAACCAGAGACCUGAAUGUGGGAAAGUGAAACCCGUCAACUUUCAUGUUGUAAUGCUUCCACGAGGUACCCGUGUAAGUCAGAGUUUAGAGUUUUGUGUGUGCCAUGCCCGGAUUUGCAUGGAAUCCCGGUAUUUCUUUACUUCCCUUCUCAUGCGCUCCUGAACAAUU
Molecule: long non-coding RNA, 1274 nt
Filed under: Bemisia tabaci
Lineage: Eukaryota; Metazoa; Arthropoda; Insecta; Hemiptera; Aleyrodidae
Description: lncRNA ENSSSA1NGG012992
Source: RNAcentral